GGGGAUUUAGCUCAGUGGUAUAAGCACCUGCCUUGCAAGCAGGCAGUCAUGAGUUCUGUUUAACACAAUUUCCU
Cavia porcellus (domestic guinea pig) is the source of this 74-nucleotide transfer RNA. It matches the Rfam family "tRNA". Rfam says of the family: Transfer RNA (tRNA) molecules are approximately 80 nucleotides in length. Their secondary structure includes four short double-helical elements and three loops (D, anti-codon, and T loops). Lineage: Eukaryota; Metazoa; Chordata; Mammalia; Rodentia; Caviidae. The record is from Rfam.